CCUACGGGAGGCUGCAGUGGGGAAUUUUGGACAAUGGGCGCAAGCCUGAUCCAGCCAUUCCGCGUGAGUGAAGAAGGCCUUCGGGUUGUAAAGCUCUUUCGCAAGGGAAGAAAACUUAUCCUCUAACAUAGGAUGAGGUUGACGGUACCUUGAUAAGAAGCACCGGCUAACUACGUGCCAGCAGCCGCGGUAAUACGUAGGGUGCGAACGUUAAUCGGAACGUGUGGGCGUAGUGCUGUCGGUCGCUGGUGAAAUCCCCGAGCUCAACUUGGGAACUGCGUUUGAAACUACAAGACUAGAAUAGGUCAGAGGGGGGUAGAAUUCCACGUGUAGCAGUGAAAUGCGUAGAGAUGUGGAGGAAUAUCAAUGGCGAAGGCAGCCCCCUGGGAUCAUAUUGACGCUCAUGCACGAAAGCGUGGGGAGCAAACAGGAUUAGAUACCCCAGUAGUC
Molecule: ribosomal RNA, 450 nt
Filed under: uncultured bacterium
Lineage: Bacteria
Description: partial 16S ribosomal RNA
Rfam family: Bacterial small subunit ribosomal RNA
Source: RNAcentral